CGAACCGCAUCAGGGGCAAUGUAGAAAUCUGCAUUAGGGACAGGGAUUUCGUCAGAGCCUUCAUCAGUAGAUGGCUUUUGGUUCAAACAACCAUAUUUGGCAGGCGUAUGGUGCUCUAUUCCUGGAUUAUCACCGUUACUUCAUCUCCCAGUUCCUUCUUGUGUUGCUUGCUAUUUCUCCUUGUGCUCCAGGUACGGGCCAUGACUUUAGCUUUUCUUUUAACCUAACCUGUUUAUUGCUCUUCUGCCUCUCCUUUUCUUCUUAAUCAACUCUUUUGCUAACCAACUCUAGGACUUCUUGUUUCAAAUUAGCUGAACUACUGCU
Molecule: long non-coding RNA, 324 nt
Filed under: Zea mays
Lineage: Eukaryota; Viridiplantae; Streptophyta; Magnoliopsida; Poales; Poaceae
Description: long non-coding RNA NONZMAT000775
Source: RNAcentral